Molecule: long non-coding RNA, 211 nt
Organism: Phyllostomus discolor (pale spear-nosed bat)
Lineage: Eukaryota; Metazoa; Chordata; Mammalia; Chiroptera; Phyllostomidae
Exons: 2
Source: RefSeq, a predicted model, not a curated record
CUAUGAGUGUGGCCCGCACAAAAUAGUAAAUUUACUUAAAACAUUAUUUAGUUUUAUACUAAGUUUUAUUACUUAGAUAUGUACAUUUUCUAUAUUAGUGAUCACAAACUUGGGACCUGCUUGAUGAUUUUCAAAGAUUAUCAAAAGGGCUGUUGCAUAAUUAGGGUUAUUAUGUGAAGACAUUUUUGCAUAUCUGUGGUAGUAGAUGUCA